This 72-nucleotide transfer RNA is filed under the name Fukomys damarensis (Damara mole-rat). It matches the Rfam family "tRNA". Rfam says of the family: Transfer RNA (tRNA) molecules are approximately 80 nucleotides in length. Their secondary structure includes four short double-helical elements and three loops (D, anti-codon, and T loops). Lineage: Eukaryota; Metazoa; Chordata; Mammalia; Rodentia; Bathyergidae. The record is from Rfam by way of RNAcentral.
GGGGAUUUAGCUUAGUGGCACUGUGUCUGCCUCAGAAGCACAAGGUCCUGAGUUCAAUCCCCAGUACCCCCU